UACAGAGGUCUCAAGCGUUGUUCGGAUUCAUUGGGCGUAAAGGGUGCGUAGGUGGCGGGGUAAGUCAGGUGUGAAAUCUCGGAGCUCAACUCCGAAACUGCACUUGAUACUGCCUUGCUCGAGUACUGGAGAGGAGAUUGGAAUUCCUGGUGUAGCGGUGAAAUGCGCAGAUAUCAGGAGGAACACCGGUGGCGAAGGCGGGUCUCUGGGCCGAUACUGACGCUGAGGAGCGAAAGCGUGGGGAGCGAACAGG
RNAcentral lists this ribosomal RNA (253 nucleotides) under uncultured bacterium. RNAcentral's name for it is "partial 16S ribosomal RNA". It matches the Rfam family "Bacterial small subunit ribosomal RNA", at positions 524 to 776 of the family's 1533-position model. The record is from RNAcentral.